Molecule: ribosomal RNA, 413 nt
Filed under: uncultured Funneliformis
Lineage: Eukaryota; Fungi; Glomeromycota; Glomeromycetes; Glomerales; Glomeraceae
Description: partial 28S ribosomal RNA
Source: RNAcentral
GAGAGUUAAACAGUACGUGAAAUUGUUGAAAGGGAAACGAUUGAAGUCAGUCGUACCAGCGGGAAAUCAACCUUUCGAGUGGGGUUUUGGAGUUUUGAAGAGUGUCAAAACCUUUGAGAUUUCAAAAUUUUCGCUCUUUUGGUGUACUUUCUCGUGGGUAGGUUAACAUCGAUUUUGAUCAUCAUAAAAAGAUUGGAGGAAUGUAGCUUCGAUCUUGUAUUGAAGUGUUAUAGCCUUUGGUAAAUGUGAUGAUUAGGAUCGAGGAUUGCAACGAAUACCCUUUUGGGCUAUCAGUCUGAUCUCUGAUACGUGGCCUUGGUAUCGAAAGCGUGCUUAUGGUAUUAAGGUAUUACGGUCAAAAGGUUAGAACGGAUUACAUUCGUUAAGGAUGUUGACGUAAUGGCUUUAAACGA